Molecule: ribosomal RNA, 875 nt
Filed under: uncultured Methanomicrobiales archaeon
Lineage: Archaea; Methanobacteriati; Methanobacteriota; Methanomicrobia; Methanomicrobiales
Description: bacterial SSU rRNA
Rfam family: Archaeal small subunit ribosomal RNA
Source: RNAcentral
GAGGCCACUGCUAUCGGAGUUCGAUUAAGCCAUGCGAGUCGAGAGGUGCAAGACCUCGGCAUACUGCUCAGUAACACGUGGACAAUCUAACCUAUGGAAGGGGAUAACCCCGGGAAACUGGGAAUAAUACCCUAUAGACUAUGGAUGCUGGAAUGCUUUGUAGUCGAAAGGUCCGCCGCCAUAGGAUGGGUCUGCGGCCGAUUAGGUUGUUGUUGGGGUAACGGCCCAACAAGCCUGUAAUCGGUACGGGUUGUGGGAGCAAGAGCCCGGAGAUGGAUUCUGAGACACGAAUCCAGGCCCUACGGGGCGCAGCAGGCGCGAAAACUUUGCAAUGCGGGAAACCGUGACAGGGGAACUCCGAGUGCCCGUAAAAUCGGGCUGUCCAUCAGUUUAAAUAACUGGUGAAGAAAGGGCCGGGCAAGACCGGUGCCAGCCGCCGCGGUAAUACCGGCGGCUCGAGUGGUGGCCACUAUUACUGGGCUUAAAGCGUUCGUAGCUGGUUUGUUAAGUCUCUGGGGAAAUCUUCCGGCUCAACCGAAAGGCGUCUCAGGGAUACUGGCAGACUAGGGACCGGGAGAGGUGAGGGGUACUCCAGGGGUAGGAGUGAAAUCCUGUAAUCCUUGGGGGACCACCUGUGGCGAAGGCGCCUCACCAGAACGGCUCCGACAGUGAGGGACGAAAGCUGGGGGAGCAAACCGGAUUAGAUACCCGGGUAGUCCCAGCUGUAAACGAUGCGCGUUAGGUGUAUCGGUGACCACGAGUUACCGAGGUGCCGAAGAGAAAUCGUGAAACGUGCCGCCUGGGAAGUACGGUCGCAAGGCUGAAACUUAAAGGAAUUGGCGGGGGAGCACCACAACAGGUGGAGCCUGCGGUUU